AGCGAACGCUGGCGGCAGGCCUAACACAUGCAAGUCGAACGAACUCUUCGGAGUUAGUGGCGGACGGGUGAGUAACCCGUGGGAACGUGCCUUUUGGUUCGGCAUAACUCAGGGAAACUUGUGCUAAUACCGAAUGUGCCCUUCGGGGGAACGAUUUAUCGCCAUUAGAGCGGCCCGCGUCUGAUUAGCUAGUUGGUGAGGUAACGGCUCACCAAGGCGACGAUCAGUAGCUGGUCUGAGAGGAUGACCAGCCACACUGGGACUGAGACACGGCCCAGACUCCUACGGGAGGCAGCAGUGGGGAAUCUUGCGCAAUGGGCGAAAGCCUGACGCAGCCAUGCCGCGUGAAUGAUGAAGGUCUUAGGAUUGUAAAAUUCUUUCACCGGGGACGAUAAUGACGGUACCCGGAGAAGAAGCCCCGGCUAACUUCGUG
This 433-nucleotide ribosomal RNA is filed under the name uncultured bacterium. RNAcentral describes it as "partial 16S ribosomal RNA". It matches the Rfam family "Bacterial small subunit ribosomal RNA", at positions 29 to 507 of the family's 1533-position model. The record is from RNAcentral.